AUCGGCCGCUCGUUUAAUAACCGCAGCUCGAUGCGUGUAGGGCCGGCAGUCCAGCUCGUUGUGUUUGGCUUCAAAUGAGCUCCAGAUCGGCCGCUCGUUUAAUAACCGCAGCUCGAAAUGAGCUCGAGAUCUAUCGCUCGUUUAAUAAACGAGUCGAAUCCAAGCUGGAGUCAGCUCACUCAUGUUCGGCUCGGUAUAGCUCAAAUAUAUAUACAUAUAUUAUAAAUUUUUACCAGUUGAGCUCCUGGGCUUUUUAAAAGUAUAAGAGCAUUUGUGCUUAUGAUUUUUUAAGCCAUAGGAUCGUCUCAAGAUCCGU
RNAcentral lists this long non-coding RNA (316 nucleotides) under Ananas comosus (pineapple). Its description in RNAcentral is "long non-coding RNA (ACOM_LNC020306)". Lineage: Eukaryota; Viridiplantae; Streptophyta; Magnoliopsida; Poales; Bromeliaceae. The record is from RNAcentral.